UAGUCAUAUGCUGUCUCAAAGAUUAAGCCAUGCAUGUCUAAGUGUAAGCAAUUGUACACGGUGAAACUGCGAAUGGCUCAUUAAAUCAGUUAUCGUAUAUUUGAUAGUACCGUCACGUACUUGGAUACCAGUGGUAAUUCUAGAGCUAAUACAUGCCACAAUCCCCGACUUUGAAGGGGUGCGUAUAUCAGGCAAAAAACCAAUGCCCUCUGGGCUCUUUGGUGAAUCAUGGUAUCCAAGCGAAUCGCAUGGCCUUGAGCCUGCGAUGGUUCAUUCAAAUUUCUGCCCUAUCAACUUUCGAUGGUAAGGUAUUGGCCUACCAUGGUAUCAACGGGUAACGGGGAAUUAGGGUUCGAUUCCGGAGAGGGAGCCUGAGAAACGGCUACCACAUCCAAGGAAGGCAGCAGGCGCGCAAAUUACCCAAUCCCAACACGGGGAGGUAGUGACAAUAAAUACUGAUACAGGGCUCUUUUGGGUCUUGUAAUUGGAAUGAGUGCAACUCAAAUCCCUCAACGAGGAACAAUUGGAGGGCAAGUCUGGUGCCAGCAGCCGCGGUAAUUCCAGCUCCAAUAGCGUAUAUUAAAGUUGUUGCAGUUAAAACGCUCGUAGUUGAAUCUUGGGCCAGGCCGGCCGGUCCGCCUAACCGCGUGCACUGGUUCGGCCAGGCCCUUCCCUCUGGGGAACCGCAUGCCCUUUAGUGGGUGUGUCGGGGAACCAGGACUUUUACUUUGAAAAAAUUAGAGUGUUCAAAGCAGGCCUAUGCUCAGAUACAUUAGCAUGGAAUAAUGAAAUAGGACGUUGCGGUCCUAUUUUGUUGGUUUCUAGAACCGCCGUAAUGAUUAAUAGGGACAGUCGGGGGCGUCCGUAUUCAGCCGCGAGAGGUGAAAUUCUUAGACCGGCUGAAGACGAUCUACUGCGAAAGCAUUCGCCAAGGAUGUUUUCAUUAAUCAGGGAACGAAAGUUGGGGGAUCGAAGACGAUCAGAUACCGUCGUAGUCUCAACCGUAAACUAUGCCGACUAGGGAUCGGGCGGCGCUCAAUUGUUGACCCGCCCGGCACCUUACGAGAAAUCAAAGUUUUUGGGUUCUGGGGGGAGUAUGGUCGCAAGGCUGAAACUUAAAGAAAUUGACGGAAGGGCACCACAAUGGCGUGGAGCCUGCGGCUUAAUUUGACUCAACACGGGGAACCUCACCAGGUCCAGACACAAUGAGGAUUGACAGAUUGAGAGCUCUUUCUUGAUCUUGUGGGUGGUGGUGCAUGGCCGUUCUUAGUUGGUGGAGUGAUUUGUCUGCUUAAUUGCGAUAACGAACGAGACCUUCUCCUGCUAAAUAGCCAGGCCGGCUUCGGCCGGUCGUGCGCUUCUUAGAGGGACUGUCGGCUCAAGCCGAUGGAAGUUGGAGGCAAUAACAGGUCUGUGAUGCCCUUAGAUGUUCUGGGCCGCACGCGCGCUACACUGACGGAGCCAACGAGUGCACCUCCUUGUCCGAGAGGGCUGGGUAAUCUUGUUAAACUCCGUCGUGCUGGGGAUAGAGCAUUGCAAUUGUCGCUCUUGAACGAGGAAUGCCUAGUAAGCGCGCGUCAUCAGCGUGCGUUGAAUACGUCCCUGCCCUUUGUACACACCGCCCGUCGCUACUACCGAUCGGAUGCAUCAGUGAGGCGUUCGGACUGGCCCAGGCCGGUCGGCAACGACUAUCCAGGGCCGGAAAGUUCGUCAAACUUGUGCAUCUAGAGGAAGUAAAAGUCGUAACAAGGUCUCCGUAGGUGAACCUGCGGAGGGAUCAUUACCGAGCGCGCGGUCCCCUUGCGGGACCGUCCUCAAAUCCUCUGUGUACCGUACCUCUUGUUUGCCUCGGCGGGUCAGGUCCCCGUGGCCCCCCUCCUACGUGGGGGGAGCGCCCGCCGGUGGCCCAUCUAAACCAGUCUGAAAAACAGCAUUCAGUCAGGCCCUCUGGGUUUGAAUUUGGCACAACUUUCAACAAUGGAUCUCUUGGCUCCGGCAUCGAUGAAGAACGCAGCGAAAUGCGAUAGCUAGCGUGAAUUGCAGAUUUUAGUGAAUCAUCGAGUCUUUGAACGCACAUUGCGCCCCUUGGCAUGCCUUGGGGCACACCUGUUCGAGCGUCGUUCUAACCAUCAGGCCUUUGGGCCUGGACAUGGGGUGCACCCCGCCUCGCGGCGGCGGUGGCUCUAAAAGGAAUCGGCGGCUUUGUCACGCCCCGGGGCGCUGUAGCAGGCGUCUCCGCGGGAGCGGCUGGGCCGGCCGUUAAAACCGGUACAUCGUACCUCUUGGUCGACCUCGAAUCAGGUGGGGAUACCCGCUGAACUUAAGCAUAUCAGUAAGCGGAGGAAAAGAAACCAACCGGGAUUGCCCUAGUAACGGCGAGUGAAGCGGCAAAAGCUCAGAUUUGAAAUCUGGCCCCCUAGGGGGUCCGAGUUGUAAUCUGGAGAGGAUGCUUCGGCGUUGGCGCCGCCCUAGGUUCCCUGGAACGGGACGUCGUAGAGGGUGAGAACCCCGUACGUGGGCGGAUGCCACCGCCGUGUGAAGCUCCCUCGGCGAGUCGAGUUGCUUGGGAAUGCAGCUCAAAUUGGGAGGUAAAUUCCUUCUAAAGCUAAAUACCGGCCGGAGACCGAUAGCGCACAAGUAGAGUGAUCGAAAGAUGAAAAGCACUUUGGAAAGAGAGUGAAAAAGCACGUGAAAUUGUUGAAAGGGAAGCGCUUGCAGCCAGACGUGGCCGCCGUCGCUCGGUGGGGCCCCGCGCCCCGCCUACGCUUCGGCGGGCAGGCCAGCGUCAGCUCGGGUGGCCGUAGAAGCGCGCGGGAACGUAGCACCCUCCGGGGUGUGUUAUAGCCUGCGCCGGAUGCGGCCCGCCUGGGCUGAGGUCCCGCGCUUUUGCGAGGACGCUGGCGUAAUGGUGGUAAGCGGCCCGUCUUGAAACACGGACCAAGGAGUCUUACAUCCGCGCGAGUGUUUGGGCUUUAAACCCCGGACGCGCAAUGAAAGUGAAUGGAGGUGGGAACCCUCGCGGGUGCACCAUCGACCGAUCCAAAUGUCCUCGGACGGAUUUGAGUAUGAGCGCGGAUGCGGGGACCCGAAAGAUGGUGAACUAUGCCUAAGCAGGGCGAAGCCAGAGGAAACUCUGGUGGAGGCUCGCAGCGGUUCUGACGUGCAAAUCGAUCGUCAAAUUUGGGUAUAGGGGCGAAAGACCAAUCGAAC
This 3210-nucleotide ribosomal RNA is filed under the name Stigmatodiscus pruni. Its description in RNAcentral is "eukaryotic LSU rRNA". The stretch from base 1 to 1783 matches the Rfam family "Eukaryotic small subunit ribosomal RNA". Lineage: Eukaryota; Fungi; Ascomycota; Dothideomycetes; Stigmatodiscales; Stigmatodiscaceae. The record is from RNAcentral.